GCCCAGUUCAGUAGCACGAGCUUGUAACCCGAGCGGGCGCUGUAAGGUGGUGUGGAUGUUGCCAGCGGCCACUUGGGCCUUGCAGCCUACUCCAACAAACCACCACUUUU
Molecule: non-coding RNA, 110 nt
Filed under: Triticum aestivum (bread wheat)
Lineage: Eukaryota; Viridiplantae; Streptophyta; Magnoliopsida; Poales; Poaceae
Source: RNAcentral